RNAcentral lists this ribosomal RNA (375 nucleotides) under uncultured bacterium. Its description in RNAcentral is "bacterial SSU rRNA". It matches the Rfam family "Bacterial small subunit ribosomal RNA", at positions 283 to 670 of the family's 1533-position model. The record is from RNAcentral.
GUAGCCGGCCUGAGAGGGUGNCCGGCCACACUGGGACUGAGAUACGGCCCAGACUCCUACGGGAGGCAGCAGUGGGGAAUAUUGCACAAUGGGCGCAAGCCUGAUGCAGCGACGCCGCGUGGGGGAUGACGGCCUUCGGGUUGUAAACCUCUUUCAAUAGGGACGAAGCGCAAGUGACGGUACCUNUAGAAGAAGCACCGGCCAACUACGUGCCAGCAGCCGCGGUAAUACGUAGGGUGCGAGCGUUGUCCGGAAUUACUGGGCGUAAAGAGCUCGUAGGUGGUUUGUCGCGUUGUCCGUGAAAUUUCACAACUCAAUUGUGAGCGUGCGGGCGAUACGGGCAGACUGGAGUACUGCAGGGGAGACUGGAAUUCC